AUUGAACGCUGGCGGCAGGCCUAACACAUGCAAGUCGAGCGGAUGAAGGGAGCUUGCUCCUGGAUUCAGCGGCGGACGGGUGAGUAAUGCCUAGGAAUCUGCCUGGUAGUGGGGGAUAACGUCCGGAAACGGGCGCUAAUACCGCAUACGUCCUGAGGGAGAAAGUGGGGGAUCUUCGGACCUCACGCUAUCAGAUGAGCCUAGGUCGGAUUAGCUAGUUGGUGGGGUAAAGGCCUACCAAGGCGACGAUCCGUAACUGGUCUGAGAGGAUGAUCAGUCACACUGGAACUGAGACACGGUCCAGACUCCUACGGGAGGCAGCAGUGGGGAAUGUUGGACAAUGGGCGAAAGCCUGAUCCAGCCAUGCCGCGUGUGUGAAGAAGGUCUUCGGAUUGUAAAGCACGUUAAGUUGGGAGGAAGGGCAGUAAGUUAAUACCUUGCUGUUUUGACGUUACCAACAGAAUAAGCACCGGCUAACUUCGUG
Molecule: ribosomal RNA, 484 nt
Filed under: uncultured bacterium
Lineage: Bacteria
Description: partial 16S ribosomal RNA
Rfam family: Bacterial small subunit ribosomal RNA
Source: RNAcentral